CCUACGGGAGGCAGCAGUGAGGAAUAUUGGUCAAUGGGCGGAAGCCUGAACCAGCCAAGUCGCGUGAGGGAUUAAGGCCCUGCGGGUCGUAAACCUCUUUUGCCGGGGAGCAGUGGUCCGGACGCGUCCGGACCGGGAGAGUACCCGGAGAAAAAGCAUCGGCUAACUCCGUGCCAGCAGCCGCGGUAAUACGGAGGAUGCGAGCGUUAUCCGGAAUGACUGGGCGUAAAGGGUGCGUAGGUGGAGGUGCAAGUCAGCGGUCAAAUUGCGGGGCUCAACCCCGUACUGCCGUUGAAACUGCAUCCCUUGAGUGCGCGAGAAGUAUGCGGAAUGCGUGGUGUAGCGGUGAAAUGCAUAGAUAUCACGCAGAACUCCGAUUGCGAAGGCAGCAUACCGGCGCGCAACUGACGCUCAUGCACGAAAGCGUGGGUAUCGAACAGGAUUAGAUACCCCAGUAGUC
Molecule: ribosomal RNA, 460 nt
Filed under: uncultured bacterium
Lineage: Bacteria
Description: partial 16S ribosomal RNA
Rfam family: Bacterial small subunit ribosomal RNA
Source: RNAcentral